This 247-nucleotide long non-coding RNA is filed under the name Homo sapiens (human). RNAcentral describes it as "non-protein coding lnc-ART1-1:1". The record is from RNAcentral. Lineage: Eukaryota; Metazoa; Chordata; Mammalia; Primates; Hominidae.
CCUGAUGCUGCCUUAAGCCUUAUGAGGUCGCCAUGGAACCGCAGAAACUCCUGGAGGGCAGAGCUGUGUCUGCCAUCUUCAUCAUUGCAUUACCACCACCCAGCACAGUGCCUGGCACAAAAGAGUUGCUCAAUAAAUAAAUCAGGAUGAAUGGAUAAAUACAUGGAUAGGCACUUUGAACUACAGAUGAGUUUAAAUACUUUGUGUUUUUCUUAGUCAAACAUGUGCAAUUAAGCAUGUGAUAAAU